Molecule: ribosomal RNA, 67 nt
Filed under: Klebsiella michiganensis
Lineage: Bacteria; Pseudomonadati; Pseudomonadota; Gammaproteobacteria; Enterobacterales; Enterobacteriaceae
Source: RNAcentral
CCUGGCGGCGACAGCGCGGUGGUCCCACCUGACCCCAUGCCGAACUCAGAAGUGAAACGCCGUAGCG